GGGGGCGACAUGGCUUCGACGCAGGUCGCAAAACCUGAGGUGCAUGCCGAGGUUGCAGUCAACCUCGUAAAAAAGGCUGCAGUCAAAAUAUAGUAGCCAACGACGACAGCUACGCUCUGGCGGCCUAAGAACCCGCCAGCUGUUCCCGCUUGGUGCCUGUGCCGGGCGGUGAGCAGUCAUAGACACAGGCUAGCGGUGGCCGGAUAGGUCCGGUCCGGCAUCGCGAAAGCCAACGGGCUCGCGGGUAGGAGGCCCUGCCGCUUGGGCGCUUACCCGUUAAAGAGAAUAGAGCGGCUAAGCAUGUAGUACCGAGGGUGGAGCUCCUGCGGACGCGGGUUCGAUUCCCGCCGCCUCCACCA
Molecule: transfer-messenger RNA, 359 nt
Filed under: Halorhodospira neutriphila
Lineage: Bacteria; Pseudomonadati; Pseudomonadota; Gammaproteobacteria; Chromatiales; Ectothiorhodospiraceae
Rfam family: transfer-messenger RNA
About the family: Bacterial tmRNA, also known as 10Sa RNA or SsrA, is named for its dual tRNA and mRNA-like properties. Its role is to liberate the mRNA from a stalled ribosome. To accomplish this part of the tmRNA is used as a reading frame that ends in a translation stop signal.
Source: RNAcentral